Molecule: ribosomal RNA, 459 nt
Filed under: uncultured bacterium
Lineage: Bacteria
Description: partial 16S ribosomal RNA
Rfam family: Bacterial small subunit ribosomal RNA
Source: RNAcentral
CCUACGGGAGGCAGCAGUGAGGAAUAUUGGUCAAUGGCCGGAAGGCUGAACCAGCCAAGCCGCGUGAAGGACGACGGUGCCAAGCAUUGUAAACUUCUUUUGUCAAGGGACAAAAUCAGGCUCGAGAGCCUGUCCGAGGGUACUUGAUGAAUAAGCAUCGGCUAACUCCGUGCCAGCAGCCGCGGUAAUACGGAGGAUGCGAGCGUUAUCCGGAUUUAUUGGGUUUAAAGGGUGCGUAGGCGGGCUGUUAAGUCAGUGGUAAAAGCUCGGGGCUCAACCUCGGCGAGCCGGUGAGACUGACUGUCUUGAGAAGACGAGAGGUAGGCGGAAUGCGCAGUGUAGCGGUGAAAUGCUUAGAUAGUGCGCAGAACUCCGAUUGCGAAGGCAGCAUACCGGCGUCGAUCUGACGCUGAGGCACGAAAGCGUGGGUAUCGAACAGGAUUAGAUACCCGAGUAGUC